Molecule: long non-coding RNA, 259 nt
Filed under: Erythranthe guttata (spotted monkey flower)
Lineage: Eukaryota; Viridiplantae; Streptophyta; Magnoliopsida; Lamiales; Phrymaceae
Description: long non-coding RNA (EGUT_LNC003218)
Source: RNAcentral
AAAAGCAAAAGUGGAGACUUUUGAACUUUUGAGAAUCGAGUUUAUUAAAGUCCGUAGAGGUGAAUUCAUUAUUUCAAACGCCUAUCUUUCAAAUUUUGGCGUAAUCGCCUAAAUUCAAGAAAAAUAGCCACAUAUACCCAUAUUUCCUACCUCGAACCAAAGAGCCUAACAAUUGAAAGCCACAAAGCCCCAAUGAUCCCAAUAGCUUAAUGUUCGAUAUUAGUUGAGUAGAAUAAUUUGGUGAGUAUUUGGAGUCAAG